UUUUGUAGACAUUGGGGGGUCGUGAAGACUCUAUCAGUUAGUAUUUGUUCUCGAAAGGGCUUCGAUUAAUAUUGAAUAAUCAGACAUAGUACGCUAAGGUUGUAUGUCUAAAGGGAAACAGCCCAGAACAAGUGUAAAUAAGGUUCCAAAAUUAUUAUUAAGUGAAACAAAGGUAGUUAUCUCUUAAACACCCAGGAAAUUGGCUUAGAGGCGGCCAUUUUUUAAAGACCUCGUAACAGAGCACUGGUUUUUAUUUUAAAUUAAAAGAAUGUAAAAAAUUAAAUAAAUUUAUACUGGGAAAAGCACCUACGAUUCCACGGAUCUAAAUAAUAUACCGAAACCUUGUCCAUGUUUAUUUAUAUAUAUGCUUGUAUAUAUACAUACGCGCGUUUAUUUAGGACUAAAUAGUAUGCAUACUACAUAUAUAUAUAAUAAAAUGGGGUAGCGGAACAUUGGGCAAACCACACUUUUUUUGUAUAAAAAUUUUUAGGUACCCCAAGUGAUAAUGCUGACAUGAGUAACGAUAAAGGGAUAAAUCCCUCGCCUAAAGCUUAUGGUAUUUAGUUAAAGUAACGGCCUCUAAGUUUAUAAAUAAAAAACUAAAGUAUUUUUCCCGAUAUACGGAUAGUAAUUAAAAGUAUUUUAGUUAACCUAAAGGAUUAAACGAUGAGCAAAUCUUUAGAAUAAAAAUAUAUAUAAAUAACAUUUUAAACAAUUUUUCUCCGUUAGACUUUCGUUAGACUUUCGUUAGACUUUCGUUAGACUUUCGUUAGACUUUCGUUAGACUUUCGUUAGACUUUCGUUAGAAAAGUGUAAAAGUGAAAAGUGUUCUGGAAAAUUGUAUUUUUUACCACUUUACCUAAAACGCGUGAUUUAUAUCAUUCGUGGAAGAUAAACUAAAUAGAUGAACCAAUUUAAAGUGGUUACCGUACCUAUAUACUACCACAAGUAAGCAAGUAGAG
Molecule: ribosomal RNA, 962 nt
Filed under: Dufourea ligulata
Lineage: Eukaryota; Fungi; Ascomycota; Lecanoromycetes; Teloschistales; Teloschistaceae
Description: partial 23S ribosomal RNA
Rfam family: Bacterial large subunit ribosomal RNA (bases 1-513)
Source: RNAcentral